RNA transcript from Schistocerca nitens (vagrant locust), 1573 nucleotides. It is a transcript of the gene named c-Myc-binding protein-like, with no coding region annotated. NCBI's taxonomy places the organism in Eukaryota, Metazoa, Arthropoda, Insecta, Orthoptera, Acrididae. The record is from RefSeq and is a predicted model, not a curated record. The transcript is spliced from 3 exons.
UUAAGCUGGGAAAGUUAAUUGAGUAAUUGGGUUUAGGUAUUUCAUUGGAGAAUAAACGCAGUGUAAACCUUUUAUAAAACAAACAAAAAAUGGCAAGUUACAGAAUAUGAUUCCAUAAAAUGAAGUGUGUGCUUGAGAAAACAGCGGCGAUAAUUUGCAAUCAGUGGAAACACAUUGCGAAGAAUUCCGAAAAUAUUUGGAGAAGGGCGGUGUCAUGGAAACUUUCACGAGAAUACUCGUAUCACUUUACGAAGAAAAGGAACGUCCAGCUCAACCUUUGGAUUACAUAAAAAACAAGAUGAGAAUUGUGUCCCCCGAAUCCACUGAAAUUGAAGCAUUAAAAAACGAACUGCAGGCAGCUUUGGCUACUGUGGAGACACUGACAGCUGAAAAUAGAUCGUUGAAGGAAGAUAACUCAGACCUGAGGAACAGGAUGUCUCAGCUGGAAGCACAAGUUCCCAAAACUGAUGGAGAAACAUCAUCACUUAGCCAUAAUUGAUCUAAUGUAAGAUAAUGUAAGUGCUGUGAUAAUAUAUUUAAUUUACCAGAAAGUGACAGUGUUCAUUUACCGAAAAAUAUUUUUGGAAAGGGUUUUUGUACGUCAUAUAUACUGUGUAAUGGUCCAUGGUAAGAAAUAAGAAACAGUGAUAAAAAUAUUGUGUUUGUGUAAUUUAUUGCAUUAGUCAUGCACAGAUACUUUCUAUAAUGUGUUAAUACACACAAAGUGAGCCUUAAUUUUAUGCUAGUUGAGCUUUUGACUGACAAAAUCUAUAUUAUUGGCAAAUUAUGACAGUUCACUUCCCCUUUCUGCUCCCAAUGAUAUGCUACUAAUGUCUUACUGUUUUAAGAGGAAUUGAAUUGUCUUUUCGUUGUUCGUCAUUGUGUACGAAAGCACUGUGUAAACUAACUGUUGUUAAUAAAUUACUUUCUGUUUAAUGUUUAAAGUGAUAUAUACUAGCGUUUGAAACUGUAUUUCACAUGAUCAGUUUGGCAAAGUUUAUUCACACCUAUUUUUUUCUGUUCUCUGUUUUUGUGGAUUUGGUGCAUUUCUUGUAAUACUUCUGGUGUGAAAAUGCAAUGCAGAUAAUAUGUAACUAGCUUUACAAAGUGUAUACACUCUGAAGAGAGUCCUUUGAAAAUUGAUAUGUGCAAGAAAAAAGAAUGCAAAAGUUGUAGAAGUUUUUAGGCACUAAUAGAAGUACUUACAAAGCGAGCAGCAUCUGCUGUGAGUUAAGUUUCAUUGAAAAUUAUUCUGCAAGUCUGCAAGCAUUCCUCAUGUUCUGAUAUUAUUAUUAUAUAGCUAAGAAAGCUAUAAUGUUGUUGCUAUUUAUUUUGUUUUUAACUCUGUCAUUUUCAUGUUAGAAUUCGGACAUAUUCAGAAAUGUUUGUCUGUUGAAGAGAAAGAUUUAUUUUCUUGGAACCAUCAGCACUUUUUCAUAUUCUUGCAGUAAUGCUUGACCUAUGACAAUAAUAGUCCACAGUACAUUAUAGUUCAUUAAAUUGACAAAUAUAAAUUUUGUAUUCAAAUUUAUGGAAGAAAUAUGUCCAAGUGCAUUAAAUUAUAUGUUUAUGA